This 468-nucleotide ribosomal RNA is filed under the name uncultured bacterium. RNAcentral's name for it is "partial 16S ribosomal RNA". It matches the Rfam family "Bacterial small subunit ribosomal RNA", at positions 28 to 507 of the family's 1533-position model. The record is from RNAcentral.
GACGAACGCUGGCGGCGUGCUUAACACAUGCAAGUCGAACGGAAAGGCCCUGCUUUUGUGGGGUGCUCGAGUGGCGAACGGGUGAGUAACACGUGAGUAACCUGCCCUUGACUUUGGGAUAACUUCAGGAAACUGGGGCUAAUACCGGAUAGGAGCUCCUGCUGCAUGGUGGGGGUUGGAAAGUUUCGGCGGUUGGGGAUGGACUCGCGGCUUAUCAGCUUGUUGGUGGGGUAGUGGUUUACCAAGGCUUUGACGGGUAGCCGGCCUGAGAGGGUGACCGGCCACAUUGGGACUGAGAUACGGCCCAGACUCCUACGGGAGGCAGCAGUGGGGAAUAUUGCACAAUGGGCGGAAGCUUGAUGCAGCAACGCCGCGUGCGGGAUGACGGCCUUCGGGUUGUAAACCGCUUUCGCCUGUGACGAAGCGUGAGUGACGGUAAUGGGUAAAGAAGCACCGGCUAACUACGUG